CCCCUAGAUGUUCUGGGCCGCACGCGUGCUACACUGAGUGGAUCAGCGGGUCAGGUUGCGCGAAAGUGUUUCCUAAUCUUGAAAUCCGCUCGUGAUGGGGAUUGACGGUUGCAAUUUUCCGUCAUGAACGAGGAAUACCUUGUAAGCGCGGGUCAUCAUCCCGCGCUGAAUACGUCCCUGCCCUUUGUACACACCGCCCGUCGCUCCUACCGAUUGAGUGGUCCGGUGAGGCUUUGGGAUCUGAGCGGAAAGAGCGUUUCGCUGUUUCUGCUCGGAAAACUCAGUCGAACCUUAUCAUUUAGAGGAAGGAGAAGUCGUAACA
This 322-nucleotide ribosomal RNA is filed under the name uncultured eukaryote. RNAcentral's name for it is "partial 18S ribosomal RNA". It matches the Rfam family "Eukaryotic small subunit ribosomal RNA", at positions 1470 to 1796 of the family's 1831-position model. The record is from RNAcentral.